This 350-nucleotide non-coding RNA is filed under the name Helobdella robusta. RNAcentral describes it as "Eukaryotic large subunit ribosomal RNA". It matches the Rfam family "Eukaryotic large subunit ribosomal RNA", at positions 1 to 2534 of the family's 3401-position model. The record is from Rfam by way of RNAcentral. Lineage: Eukaryota; Metazoa; Annelida; Clitellata; Rhynchobdellida; Glossiphoniidae.
CGACCUGAAAUAAGGUCGAAUUCCCUGCUGACCGAAACAUUCGGUCAGCAGAAGAAAAGAAUUAACCAAGGCUUCCCCUAGUAACGGCGGGUGAAGAGGGGAAGUCGCAAAUGUGCAUGUAGUAGUACGAUUGUUCCGUCAUUGAUCAGACGGAAAUCUAGAGCAGACGAGUAGGCUAUUCGCAAGAAUGAUAGCCAAAGAAAUUGGUAUGGAAGAAGUAGCAAGAAAAGAAGACCUUGUUCAGCAUGACAUGGUAAAAAAACAUAAGUAGUGUAGAUAGGUGGGAGCUUCGGCGCCAAUGAAAAACCACCGCCACUAUUCUUAGCGUCUUUUUAUUGAAAUGUCAUGGG